RNAcentral lists this unclassified non-coding RNA (314 nucleotides) under plant metagenome. Its description in RNAcentral is "partial contains 5.8S ribosomal RNA, internal transcribed spacer 2, and large subunit ribosomal RNA". The stretch from base 1 to 105 matches the Rfam family "5.8S ribosomal RNA", at positions 50 to 154 of the family's 154-position model. The record is from RNAcentral.
GAAAUGCGAUAAUUAAUGUGAAUUGCAGAAUUCAGUGAAUCAUCGAGUCUUUGAACGCACAUUGCGCCCCCUGGUAUUCCGGGGGGCAUGCCUGUCCGAGCGUCAUUGCUGCCCUAAAGCACGGCUUGUGUGUUGGGCUUCCGUCCCUGGCAACGGGGACGGGCCCAAAAGGCAGUGGCGGCACCAUGUCUGGUCCUCGAGCGUAUGGGGCUUUGUCACCCGCUCCCGUAGGUCCAGCUGGCAGCUAGCCUCGCAACCAAUCUUUUUAACCAGGUUGACCUCGGAUCAGGUAGGGAUACCCGCUGAACUUAAGC